UAAAAAAAAGAAGAGAGAAUUGAGGAAACGUUAGGUAGCAUUGCUGUGAAAUACAGCUUGUUUAAUUUGUGUGAGAUUAGCCAGUAUUGUUUAAUGAAACUUGGCACAAUUUUGAUAUCAAUACUUUUAAUGGCAGACAUAUCUGAAGUCAUGACUUACAGACAGUGCUUUGUAUGUGUGAGUAACGCGGCAUUUUUGUACGUUGAAAACGUGUUUUUCAUGAGAUUUUAAUUACAACCUUAAAUGCAAUUUCGCGAACCGUAAAAAUAUCGUUCAAUGUUGUAAUUAGACAUUUUUGAUGUCUAAAGAGGUAUCAAUUUCUCUCAGAGUCAAAUUAUGCCAGAAACGGACUUGCAUGUUACAUAAAAUGAAUAUUCCGUAUUUAAGGACUUUUCAAUCAGGAAGAACAGUUUGCAGUAAUACGUUCCAUAACGCUAUACGGGAAAUUAUUGUUAUUCAAAUUUUUGGUUGCGGUAUUGAUUCAUCGAUUGACCCACAGUUGAUAUCAGUAAAGUUACAUAUGGUGAACUAUUGAACAAAUCCUGAGCUAACGUGUCAUAAUGUAAUUGUAAUAACAACAGAAUAUCAAUAUGUUACUGUAAUACAAACAGACUAUGUAAUAUCGUAGCCUAUCCCCCUUAAUAGCCUCGCCCAAACGAAACUGACAAUAAUACUUUCGAUUUGCUUGCUUAUAAAACUGGGUGACAGUCAGUAGUUGUUUCUGUGCCCAGUCUAGAGCAUCCGCUGUGAAAAAGAUCCUGAUCGCAUCUUCACGCUUCGCUUUAUUCUUCUGCGGAAAAGAUUGUGCGCGAACUGAUUCCAGAACAGAUUAUCCCGAGGGAGGAGGAUGGAUUGCCCCCAGUGCCGCAGGGAAUGUGGGCAGAAUGACAAGUUCUGCAGUGAAUGCGGCUACAGACUGUGCUCUGCAAGGGCACCUGUCACAGAGCUUUCUGUACCUGGGAACCUGAUUGUAGACCUCAAGGUCAGCAUUUCUGGAGCAGAACCCAGGGGCAGUUCUGCCGUCGUCCACAGGGUUGUGCUGUCGGACCUGCAGCCGGGAACUGAAUGCAUUGCCACCAUCUCCAAGGAAAUGGAUGAUGGGGUGCUGAGUAAUGCCACCCCCAAAACCUCCAACAGAAAUAAGGGUUCCCCUGCAUUGUGAAACCAUGGUUCCCAACUUUCUGAACCCACAAUAAAAUUCAUAA
Anguilla rostrata (American eel) is the source of this 1205-nucleotide long non-coding RNA. RefSeq lists it as uncharacterized. NCBI's taxonomy places the organism in Eukaryota, Metazoa, Chordata, Actinopteri, Anguilliformes, Anguillidae. The record is from RefSeq and is a predicted model, not a curated record. The transcript is spliced from 3 exons.